GCUUCCUUGGUCCAAUGGUUAGGAUUCCACCCUUCCAAAGCUUCGGCUGCGAUGCAAGGUGGAGGUUCGUGUUCGAUUCACGGAGGUUGCA
Amylocarpus encephaloides is the source of this 91-nucleotide non-coding RNA. The record is from the annotation of a GenBank genome assembly. NCBI's taxonomy places the organism in Eukaryota, Fungi, Ascomycota, Leotiomycetes, Helotiales.